RNAcentral lists this ribosomal RNA (247 nucleotides) under uncultured Comamonas sp. Its description in RNAcentral is "partial 16S ribosomal RNA". It matches the Rfam family "Bacterial small subunit ribosomal RNA", at positions 527 to 773 of the family's 1533-position model. Lineage: Bacteria; Pseudomonadati; Pseudomonadota; Betaproteobacteria; Burkholderiales; Comamonadaceae. The record is from RNAcentral.
GUAGGGUGCAAGCGUUAAUCGGAAUUACUGGGCGUAAAGCGUGCGCAGGCGGUUUUGUAAGACAGUGGUGAAAUCCCCGGGCUCAACCUGGGAACUGCCAUUGUGACUGCAAGGCUGGAGUGCGGCAGAGGGGGAUGGAAUUCCGCGUGUAGCAGUGAAAUGCGUAGAUAUGCGGAGGAACACCGAUGGCGAAGGCAAUCCCCUGGGCCUGCACUGACGCUCAUGCACGAAAGCGUGGGGAGCAAAC